This 506-nucleotide ribosomal RNA is filed under the name uncultured bacterium. RNAcentral describes it as "partial 16S ribosomal RNA". It matches the Rfam family "Bacterial small subunit ribosomal RNA", at positions 30 to 523 of the family's 1533-position model. The record is from RNAcentral.
AUUGAACGCUGGCGGCAGGCUUAACACAUGCAAGUCGAGCGGUAACAGAGAGAAGCUUGCUUCUCUGCUGACGAGCGGCGGACGGGUGAGUAAUGCCUAGGAAUCUGCCUAGUAGUGGGGGAUAACUUGCCGAAAGGUAAGCUAAUACCGCAUACGUCCUACGGGAGAAAGGAGGGGACCUUCGGGCCUUUCGCUAUUAGAUGAGCCUAGGUCGGAUUAGUUAGUUGGUGAGGUAAUGGCUCACCAAGACCGCGAUCCGUAACUGGUCUGAGAGGAUGAUCAGUCACGCUAGAACGGAGAAACGGUCCAGACUCCUACGGGAGGCUGCAGUAGGGAAGAUUGGACAAUGGGGGGAACCCUGAUUCAGCCAUGCCGCGUGUGUGAAGAAGGUCUUAGGAUUGUGAAGCACUUUAAGUUGAGAGGAAGAGCAGUUAACUAAUAUUUCGCUGUUUUGACGUUACCGACAGAAUAAGCACCGGCUAACUACGUGCCAGCCGCCGCCGUAA